CGGCCAACGUUGCCUGAGCACCUUCGGGAAAUCCUCCAGCCGUAUCUUUCGUGUUCGCACAGCCACCUGUCUCUGCCAGUGGAGAACGCACGACAAGAUGGUGCUUGGCAGAGUAUGAUGGCUCCACCCACUUUGGCUUGCAUGAAGCACUCAAUCAUCUCCACAUAUACAAAACGUCUGGGGCCGUGAGCAGUACAUUCACUUUACGAAGGACUUCUGACACAUUGCUGUCAACGGAUGCAGAAGUACAGUAAUUGAGCUCAAAUUAAUUGAGCAGGGCUGGAGAAGAGUGGUGUUCCAGCACCGAUGCUAAGCAAUGAUACAUUUGGACCAAUCAAACUAGCGUGCCAUAAAUGGUAGCUGAAAUUCAUUCAAAACGUGAAGUUUUCAAAUGAUUUUCAUUGAUUCUCUGUAGAAUUUACUUAUUUUUAAUUUGUUCUUUUUUUUUGCUUAAAGAAUAAUUUCUGCCAUGUUGUGUUGUCCAUUUAUUGGAGUGUGAAUAUAGCAGUACAUUAAUAAAAAAUAUGAAACGUACAAUACGACUGUACAUUUUAAUUUAAUUGCCCCCUGCCCCUCAGUCUGGCAGCUCACAUCUAUUAGACAGGGAAACUUAUGAAACGGCCUACAAAAAGAAGCCAGUCAUUAACAUGUAGCAGCUAAUUACCAGCCCGUUGGAGACCUGAGCCUGUGUGAUAACUCAAUUUGCAUUUUAACAGACCAUGAAUACG
Anguilla rostrata (American eel) is the source of this 728-nucleotide long non-coding RNA. RefSeq lists it as uncharacterized. The record is from RefSeq and is a predicted model, not a curated record. NCBI's taxonomy places the organism in Eukaryota, Metazoa, Chordata, Actinopteri, Anguilliformes, Anguillidae. The transcript is spliced from 3 exons.